Molecule: ribosomal RNA, 253 nt
Filed under: uncultured bacterium
Lineage: Bacteria
Description: partial 16S ribosomal RNA
Rfam family: Bacterial small subunit ribosomal RNA
Source: RNAcentral
UACGUAGGGUGCGAGCGUUAAUCGGAAUUACUGGGCGUAAAGCGUGCGCAGGCGGUUUUGUAAGUCAUAUGUGAAAUCCCCGGGCUCAACCUGGGAAUGGCAUUUGGGACUGCAAGGCUGGAGUACGGCAGAGGAGACUGGAAUUCCUGGUGUAGCAGUGAAAUGCGUAGAUAUCAGGAGGAAUACCGAUGGCGAAGGCAGGUCUCUGGGCUGAUACUGACGCUCAUGCACGAAAGCGUGGGGAGCAAACAGG